This is a long non-coding RNA of Hyla sarda, 412 nucleotides long. RefSeq lists it as uncharacterized. The transcript has 5 exons. The record is from RefSeq and is a predicted model, not a curated record. Lineage: Eukaryota; Metazoa; Chordata; Amphibia; Anura; Hylidae.
ACAGGCCUCAAAUGCGCAGUGCUCUCUCCUCCACUGAGCGGUGUGCACAUUUUCAGUCAAACAGCACUCCUUCUCUUCUGAGACCUGUAGUGUGCUCACAGAGAAAUUUAGGACCACAUAUAAGACCCUGUUGCUCCCGCAUGACGAUCAUCCUCGACAUCUAACCCUAUCAAACGGGCAUACCCAUGCAAAAGAUCCUAUCUACUUAUUCUACAUCGGAGUGGAGACUCCUCUCAUCACAUAAACAGGUGUCAUCAAGCACCCGGACUUAAGAUUGCCACCUGUACGCAGCUGUCCAGAGCAGUGUGUCACUUUCAAUAUAUCAUCAUAUAAGUAUAUCCACUGUACAUUGCUUCAUUUACAUGUGAUUAUGCACUUUUACCCCAUGUGUGGUCCCUCAUGACCCUAUGUU